GACGAACGCUGGCGGCGUGCCUAAUACAUGCAAGUCGAGCGGACUUUCAAGAAGCUUGCUUUUUGAAAGUUAGCGGCGGACGGGUGAGUAACACGUGGGCAACCUGCCUGCAAGACGGGGAUAACUCCGGGAAACCGGGGCUAAUACCGGAUAAUAUCUUCCUUCGCAUGAAGGAAGGUUGAAAGGCGGCGCAAGCUGCCGCUUGCAGAUGGGCCCGCGGCGCAUUAGCUAGUUGGUGAGGUAACGGUUCACCAAGGCGACGAUGCGUAGCCGACCUGAGAGGGUGAUCGGCCACACUGGGACUGAGACACGGCCCAGACUCCUACGGGAGGCAGCAGUAGGGAAUCUUCCGCAAUGGACGAAAGUCUGACGGAGCAACGCCGCGUGAGCGAAGAAGGGCUUCGGAUCGUAAAGCUCUGUUGUCAGGGAAGAACAAGUACCGUUCGAACAGGGCGGUACCUUGACGGUACCUGACCAGAAAGCCACGGCUAACUACGUG
This 499-nucleotide ribosomal RNA is filed under the name uncultured bacterium. Its description in RNAcentral is "partial 16S ribosomal RNA". It matches the Rfam family "Bacterial small subunit ribosomal RNA", at positions 28 to 507 of the family's 1533-position model. The record is from RNAcentral.